AGACUACACGGUCGAGAGGUGGUCGCCACUUGACUCCUAGCUGAACUCUCCUCUCCCACACCGUGGCACCCUGCUCAUCCUUCCUUCCCACAACCAUUCUAUCACUCCAGCAUCCAUUACCCUCCUCUCAUCAUAAUGCUCUCCCCAUUUAACCCAUCCUCGAUGCUCCUCAUUGCCGGGUCUGGAGAUCCAACCCUCCUCCCCUGCUGCUAAACGCCUGCCUCCCACGUUUCUCAAUUCGGCAUCUGCUCCCUUCCUCUCCGCUGCUGCCUUCUUUUAUGUUCUAACACUGUACGUCUUUCAAUAGACAUAAAUAAAAAGAAUCAUGCUCUUUGUGCGGACUCUUGUUGACUUUUUUUGCUCAUGUCUGUUGAGAGCGAGAGAAGUCGAGGAGGUGGGGGCCGGGGAAUUUGGUGGCGCCAUCGGUGGCGAGGGAGGGGAAAGGGAAAGGAGGGAGUUGACGGUAGGAAAAUGGGUGAAGGUUUUGCUGGACCACUCCCGCCUCCUCUUCUCCUCCUCUCUUCUCGUCUCGACCCAAUCCAAUCUCCGGCGUUCGUUCUUGGCGUCGCCCUCCAGUUUCUGCCCCACGAUCUCCUUUUCUAAUUGCUGCUCCACUUUUCCCACCACCGUCCCUUCCCAACUCCCAGACGAAGCCACCAAAGAUGUCAUAUUACUGCUUGGAAUAGAUCAAAAAGCAAGUGUGAUCACCUCAUCAACCUUGGCAGAAACCAGAACUGUUUGAAGAGAUUUCCUUGCUUCACCUACAGGUAUCGAUUGUCACCAGCAGAAGUUGCAUCCUCUUUCAAUGUGACUUUUGUGAUGCUUGCUGACCCUGCAAGGGCAAUAUGUGAUGCAUCUUUUUAUGAAACAGUGGCACCAUUCUUAGACAUCAUGGGGAAGUCAAGAUUCUAUCUUGGGGAGGUUGGAAAUGGUGCAGCUCUGAAACUAGUUUUCAACAUGAUCAUGGGAAGAAGGUUUGCUUCACCGCGAGAAAGUUGGACUGGACCCCAAUAUUCUUGCCGAGGGAGGUUGAAAUCGAGUGCAGAAAAUUGCGCAUCAUUUUUCAGUCUGUUUUCCAAAUUCCUUACCUAGCAGGAUUUUGUAUGAAGUUCGUAUACUGCUGGUGAAGUCACAAAGUCCUAUUAGUGAACCCAUGCAUUCGGCGGUCAAGGGACCUUCUUAAUGGUUAUAGCUUCCUGUCCAACUGCAUUUCUUCUGAAGCAUCAGCAGAAGGCUUACAAUCUUUUUAGAUGUCUAGAAGUGAAGGAAAACAUGCAGUAGACAUGAUUCUAGAUGGCAUCCGAAAGCAUGCUUUUUGUGGAAGGACUUUAAGGCUUGCUCUGGGCUUACCCAAAUCUGCUUCUCCACCAAUUCCAAUUGCAGCAGCUGCUAAUAAUUUGUAUGAAGUAGCCAAUUCUCAUGGCCUUCAUGUUCAGGACUUCUUGGCAGUUCACAGGCACUUAGAGGGAAAUUGUAACGUGCAGAACAGUGGAAAUACUUGCGACAUCCUUUGAGCUCGAUUCAUGAUAUUGCAGGUUUACUAUGAUGGUAUUCGAACAACUCUGCCAAGGAAGUUUUAGCUGGUUUGCAUUCUGGUUUCUUGAUCUCUUGUAAGUUAUACUAGCUCAGAUUGUCUUCGCUUCAUAGUAAGGGAAUAGUGUGGCACUUGUCAAAGCUACAGCACAGAACGAUAUAAGUCAGUUUUGACGAUACUUCAGGCCUUUUGGUUGCCUUUAUUUACAUUCCACCAAAUCUGAAUUCUCCAGGGCUAUUAUUAAGA
This is a non-coding RNA of Phoenix dactylifera (date palm), 1780 nucleotides long. The record is from RefSeq and is a predicted model, not a curated record. Lineage: Eukaryota; Viridiplantae; Streptophyta; Magnoliopsida; Arecales; Arecaceae.